This 72-nucleotide transfer RNA is filed under the name Marinobacter mobilis. It matches the Rfam family "tRNA". Rfam says of the family: Transfer RNA (tRNA) molecules are approximately 80 nucleotides in length. Their secondary structure includes four short double-helical elements and three loops (D, anti-codon, and T loops). Further hydrogen bonds mediate the characteristic L-shaped molecular structure. tRNAs have two regions of fundamental functional importance: the anti-codon, which is responsible for specific mRNA codon recognition, and the 3' end, to which the tRNAs corresponding amino acid is attached (by aminoacyl-tRNA synthetases). tRNAs cope with the degeneracy of the genetic code in two manners: having more than one tRNA (with a specific anti-codon) for a particular amino acid; and 'wobble' base-pairing, i.e. permitting non-standard base-pairing at the 3rd anti-codon position. The record is from Rfam by way of RNAcentral. RNAcentral also lists the same sequence under 1 other name. Lineage: Bacteria; Pseudomonadati; Pseudomonadota; Gammaproteobacteria; Pseudomonadales; Marinobacteraceae.
UGGGGUGUCGCCAAGUGGUAAGGCAACGGGUUUUGAUCCCGUCAUUCGCAGGUUCGAGUCCUGCCACCCCAG